This 126-nucleotide non-coding RNA is filed under the name Streptomyces sp. Amel2xC10. RNAcentral describes it as "Bacterial large subunit ribosomal RNA". It matches the Rfam family "Bacterial large subunit ribosomal RNA", at positions 2801 to 2925 of the family's 2925-position model. Lineage: Bacteria; Bacillati; Actinomycetota; Actinomycetes; Kitasatosporales; Streptomycetaceae. The record is from Rfam by way of RNAcentral.
GAGAUGAGGACUCCCACCCACUUGAUGGGGUAAGGCUCCCAGUAGACGACUGGGUUGAUAGGCCGGAUCUGGAAGCACGGUAACGUGUGGAGGUGACCGGUACUAAUAGGCCGAGGGCUUGUCCUC